This 451-nucleotide long non-coding RNA is filed under the name Nicotiana benthamiana. RNAcentral describes it as "long non-coding RNA (NBEN_LNC027747)". The record is from RNAcentral. Lineage: Eukaryota; Viridiplantae; Streptophyta; Magnoliopsida; Solanales; Solanaceae.
CACUAGUUUCAGUCAUGCUUGUGAACUGAAUGAUGAGAAAAUAGUUAGUUAAAGUAAAUAAGUCAAUGUAUAUUAAUUAUAGUUAUUAUGUAGGAAAAUGUAGCAACAUACAAAACUGAGAAACAUACCUUAACCCACUAAGGCAUGAUCAUCUUUUCUUCAAAUGCAGUUAGCCAAAUCUUACCCUUAUUUUCUAACCAUCUUAAUAUGCGAGGUAUUAAGUCAGAACAACUCAUAGAAAGCUCAGUGCUGACGGUCGAGCAAUACUCAUAAAGCCACACUUUAAAGGCUAAUGAGCAUCCCCGUAUGAGAUAAGAAUGUACACGAGGAUUUAGACGAUGUUGGACAGAUUCAAUAACCUGAUUGAAUGACUUAAUACCCGUGGGUAUGACUAAAAAUUACCAGACUCUACCAAAUAGAACCUAAACUUGUCUAUGAAAGACACAUGGUC